UCCCCAGUGGCUCAGAUGGUAAAGAAUCUGCCUGCAGUGCAGGAGACCCAGGUUCGAUCCCUGACUUGGGAA
This 72-nucleotide transfer RNA is filed under the name Bos taurus (domestic cattle). It matches the Rfam family "tRNA". From Rfam's summary of the family: Transfer RNA (tRNA) molecules are approximately 80 nucleotides in length. Their secondary structure includes four short double-helical elements and three loops (D, anti-codon, and T loops). The record is from Rfam by way of RNAcentral. RNAcentral also lists the same sequence under 5 other names. Lineage: Eukaryota; Metazoa; Chordata; Mammalia; Artiodactyla; Bovidae.